GUGCCAGCAGCCGCGGUAAUACGAAGGGGGCUAGCGUUGCUCGGAUUUACUGGGCGUAAAGGGCGCGUAGGCGGAUGACCAAGUUGGGGGUGAAAUCCCGGGGCUUAACCUCGGAACUGCCUCCAAAACUGGUCGUCUUGAGUUUGGGAGAGGUGUGUGGAACUCCGAGUGUAGAGGUGAAAUUCGUAGAUAUUCGGAAGAACACCAGUGGCGAAGGCGACACACUGGCCCAAUACUGACGCUGAGGCGCGAAAGCGUGGGGAGCAAACAGGAUUAGAUACCCCCGUAGUCC
RNAcentral lists this ribosomal RNA (292 nucleotides) under uncultured bacterium. RNAcentral's name for it is "partial 16S ribosomal RNA". It matches the Rfam family "Bacterial small subunit ribosomal RNA", at positions 505 to 796 of the family's 1533-position model. The record is from RNAcentral.